AGAUAGAGGAGUGCUCGAAAGAGAGCCGUAACACAGGUGCUGCAUGGCUGUCGUCAGCUCGUGUCGUGAGAUGUUGGGUUAAGUCCCGCAACGAGCGCAACCCUUGUCAUUAGUUGCUACAUUCAGUUGGGCACUCUAAUGAGACUGCCGGUGACAAACCGGAGGAAGGUGGGGAUGACGUCAAGUCCUCAUGGCCCUUAUAGGUGGGGCUACACACGUCAUACAAUGGAUGGUACAAAGGGUCGCCAACCCGCGAGGGGGAGCCAAUCUCAUAAAGCCAUUCGUAGUCCGGAUCGCAGUCUGCAACUCGACUGCGCGAAGUCGGAAUCGCUAGUAAUCGUGGAUCAGCAUGCCACGGUGAAUACGUUCCCGGGCCUU
This 378-nucleotide ribosomal RNA is filed under the name uncultured Acidovorax sp. RNAcentral's name for it is "bacterial SSU rRNA". It matches the Rfam family "Bacterial small subunit ribosomal RNA", at positions 1002 to 1382 of the family's 1533-position model. The record is from RNAcentral. Lineage: Bacteria; Pseudomonadati; Pseudomonadota; Betaproteobacteria; Burkholderiales; Comamonadaceae.